AACUAUUUACCAAAAACUCAUAAGACCAUGUAUGGGGGCUGAUGCGUUCCCAGUGUAAAAAGGCCAAGGAAUUUGGUGACCUGAUGACAGGGGAGUCGGCCUCCGAAGCCACGGUGAACAGCGGCCGUAACUAUGAUGGUCCUAAGGUAGCGAAAUUCCUUGUUGAAUUGGUUCUUAACCUAACCCCUAAU
Molecule: non-coding RNA, 191 nt
Organism: Beta vulgaris subsp. vulgaris (sugar beet)
Lineage: Eukaryota; Viridiplantae; Streptophyta; Magnoliopsida; Caryophyllales; Amaranthaceae
Source: Rfam